GGCGGAAUACUCGUACAUGCUCGCAAAAGUUAAGUUUCGGUCAUUUGAAUGGUCGUAUUUUUCACAAAUGGGGCGGAAAACACAAUUAACAUUUGCUUUUAGUGAAGUAGUUAUCUGAUUUAAUAUUCUGGAGUGAAUGACGUCACUUUUGACCAAAUUUACGUGUUUUAAAAAGCUGAAUACCUUGAGAACGAAACAAGAUA
Molecule: non-coding RNA, 203 nt
Organism: Paramuricea clavata
Lineage: Eukaryota; Metazoa; Cnidaria; Anthozoa; Malacalcyonacea; Plexauridae
Source: the annotation of a GenBank genome assembly